Long non-coding RNA from Culex pipiens pallens (northern house mosquito), 322 nucleotides. RefSeq lists it as uncharacterized. The record is from RefSeq and is a predicted model, not a curated record. Lineage: Eukaryota; Metazoa; Arthropoda; Insecta; Diptera; Culicidae. The transcript has 2 exons.
UAGUUUAUGCAACAAGUUGCAAAAAGAAGAUUUUUUCAGCACGAGUUGUACAUUUAUCCAACGAGGUUUACCGAGUUGGAUAAAUACGACGAGUGCUGAAAAAAUCAAGUUUUGCAACGAGUUGCUUACAACAUUUUUUGCAAUUCCGAAAAACGCUUUUUGAAUGAAAUUUUAUGUCAAACAUUCAUGUGUUUAGUAAAUUCAUCGUUCAAAACAAAACAAUAUUGAAAAAUGUUACUUUUCGAUACUAGUGCUGAAAAGUAUUAAUUUUCCAUUCUGUUAUUUUUGGUAGGGAAAAGUAGGCCGUUUCGUUUCUCCAGAA